UUAGCUGGACAGCCUAAAAUCUUCAUGGACCCCUUGCUGGUCUGGUCUUUGGAUCUACUUUGGAUGGGAAAGGGACUUGGGAAUCUGGUGGGGUAAAUCAGCUAGGAAUUUCAUGUGAUACUAGAUUUGGUUCUAACUACUGAAGAUCUUGUGGACUUAACCUAAUCAAUAUCUUAUUCGCCUAAAGAAAUAGUAUUAUGGAGAUGUCAUACUGGUAUUUGAGUGUGAGAGACUUGUACAGAGAGUUGGUUUAAACUUUAAAGACGUUGAGCUACUGAUAUAUGGAAUGAUGCGUCUUUCAAUUGUGCAAUCAAUUGAUGUGUACCCAAAGAUCAAUUCAAAAUUUUCCUUUUCACCUGAUAUGAGAGGGGAUCUACUCCACUCCAUGUCAGACAACAUAUCUCUACUGAUUUUCACAAGUCUUUUGUCAUCUGCACUUGGAUUCUAACUAAUUUGGACCUUUUGUGCAUAUGGGUCCCUCUCUCUAUGCAUGAGAUAUUGGGGAGAGUUUUGUCAAAAAUCAUCAUCAUCUUCUCUUUUUAUUUGACUGAAUGACUUAGUUGUCUUGCACUAAUGGGAAAACUAUCUUCCUCGAUGACCUUGCUAAUGCGGCUCUCAUCUUUCAAUCUAGUACAUUUCUGCACCCAUCAUCUUCCCUUGCACUGCUUGUGUUUUUAACCUAUGAUUUUUUUUUUUGGUUUUAAUGUCACAUAGGAAUGAUGGGAGACCUGAUUCUCUGUGUGUUUCUGUUGCACCAUAAAUAUACGGUGAACCUGUUGUGUAAAAGUUGCAAUACCAUAGAAUGACUUGUUUUUAUAGAAAGUGGUUUUUGUUAUGUUGCCUAAAAUCUUAAUGGACCCAGUGUUCAUAUUAUUGUGAUCUUAUUUGUUGGAAAAGAGACGGAGAAUCUAGUGGGGUAAAGCAUUUAGGGACAGUAUUAUGCCAUGCUUGGCUGUCUUUGAUUUUAUUUCUGUGAAAGCCUUUGGUUUGGUUCAAAGUAGCAGUGAUGUUUGUUGCUCUCUGAUUCUCACAUCAUCAUUGAAUUGUCAAUUCAAUUUUAUUUGGACGCUGUGAGGCGUGAGAUAGUAGUGAUACUUUAAUCAUAGAAUUCAACAAACUUGAGCAAGGAUACAAUGGUUGGAGAUACUGAACUUCUAAAGUGUGAAAUUACUAUGCCUAAUAAAUAGACAAUCACAUUGAGAAUCACCAUGUUCUCUUGCUAUUUUCACUGGACUUAACGAGGUUUGCUUACUAAUUUGUAUGUCUGAUGGUCAAGGUUGACAUAAAGGACUAGUGCAGAUUGUCCAAUCACAGCCAUAUGUCACUUUCAUCAGUUUAUGGUCUAGUACGGUAUUUAGAAUUUAAUUAGCUUGAUAGCUAAGUAGUGUUAUGUUAUCUGUAGUAUUAGACUGGCAUGUCCCAUUUACAGUAUCCAGAUAAUUUAAUCUUAUAAAGCUUGUCCAUUUAGUUGAACCUAACACUUAUUUCAGGCUGAGGGAAUGCCCACUCUGUUGGUUGCUAAUUGAACCAGCAAGAAUUGCUUUUGGGACAAUUGAUGUUUAAUGCACUGUAAAAUUAGGUUUUCCAAUGUCCCUGCCUUAAGUACUAUAUGAAGAAGCUAUUUAUUAUACAAGAUCACAGCGUUCAAUCAUAAGUAGAUCACAGUGUAAUUGGUUCUUUUUUCCAAAUCAGUGGCCUAAUUUUCCUUUCUCAGUUUGGUUACACAAGUCAAAUGGGAUUUAUUGUUCUUGGGACCUGUGCUGUGUUUGGUGUAUUUCUGUAUGCUUUACCAUGUCAACGUGGUUGUUUUUAGUUCAUGAAGCCGUGUUUUUUAUUUAUGUUAUCUAUCAAGGGUUUUUUUUUGUUCUUAGCCCACAUAGGUUACCUGCUGUUGGCUUAUUGUUUCCUUGGAACAGGAAAGAGAUUGAGAAUGUUGGAACAUGGAUACUUUGCAGCUAAGCUGAAAUGCUGGCAGCAAAGAUCUCAGUUGACAGAGCAGUACUCUUAGACUCAGAAAAGGAACUCAUCUCUCGUAAUGAUCAAUUGCUAGUAUGUCUCCUGAAAUUUUGCUUGAACCACACAACUCCAAUGACUAUUGCCACGAAUGCAAGCAGCCCUGCAGCACCUCCAACUAUGGUCACGAACUUUGACAUACGGUAAAGUCUUUCUGUCCCCGUUAACAAACUUGAACAUUGAACUCUGAAUAGCUAAAAACAGUCAUCCAUCUCUGCUGAAUUAUAUGGAAAGAGUUUGAAAAAGGUGUCCACUACCUGUAGAGAAGCGCAGAUCCAAGUUCCUCUUCUGAUGGGAAAUAUUCAAUUGUUUAGAGUGUCGUUUCAGCAACUGCAACUGCUUUUGGUACUACUGCUACCGACAUAUGUUUCAAGAAUGUGAUAAGGCCGAUCUUGAGCAUCCACUUGGGAAAUAGAGACUUGAAUGCUGCUAAAAUCUGAAUAAGAUAUCAGAAGACAACUCAUUUGCUUUUUAGAGUACCCUCAUCUUGUUGUCCGAUGUUCACACCCAAGUGACCCUAGAGAUGCCCCGUCACUGAAGAACAAACUGACUCUGUGAAAACAAACCUUUACUUUCAUUUGGCUUUACAGGAAAGAUGGUGAAUUUGGAGACAAACAGAAUUACUCAAGCAGAAGAUAUUACCCUGUCUUGUACUGCUGAUGAAUCCAUGUUGGCUAGAAUCCUGCAUUGAUUGUCAAGACAAGUGUGUUUGUUUCACAAUUAACUUUCUCAAACAGAAGGCCUUGGAAGACAUGAUUAUUGAAGGGGGAUCAAAAGAAAAAAAAAUGUUGUUAUCAGUCUUUCAAUUCGAAGUCUCUUCCCUGAAUCUACUCUCCCGUCCUUUUGGCCUUUUU
Molecule: long non-coding RNA, 2867 nt
Organism: Tripterygium wilfordii
Lineage: Eukaryota; Viridiplantae; Streptophyta; Magnoliopsida; Celastrales; Celastraceae
Exons: 3
Source: RefSeq, a predicted model, not a curated record